Molecule: long non-coding RNA, 714 nt
Organism: Cydia splendana
Lineage: Eukaryota; Metazoa; Arthropoda; Insecta; Lepidoptera; Tortricidae
Exons: 3
Source: RefSeq, a predicted model, not a curated record
GUAUUAGAGUUAGCGAUAUGAGUCAAAGAGAAAUAGUUAGUUACUUUAUUUUACAUCGUUUUUAUAGCCAACAUGAAUUAUUAAUUACGAAUUUUGAAUAUCAAUUCAUGAAUUGGAAUUAUGUUAUCCACCGUACUGUACACGUUGUUCGUGUCACUAGUUUUUGCUAAAGACAAUGAAAUAAUUUUACAAAUAAAACCUGAAACUUUAAUUAGCACCAUUAAGUCGUUGAAGAACUCGGGAUAUUUUCAAAAACUAGCUGAUGAAUUUGCGCUUAAAACUGCGGGAGAAUUCAUUAAACAACUCAAAAGGCAGAAAAAGAGUUUUACAAGCACACAAGAACAAUUGGAUGAAUUGCCCAAACGUCAUAAACGUCCAACUUCAAACCAACUGCGUAUGGCAUCAAUAGGUCAAGCGGAACCGCAGCCAAUGAUAUCAGACGGCAAAGUAUCCCACGAAGACGACGUUCAACGGAGAAUUAAAAGUCCAUCCAAACAAAAAGCCAGCGAUAGAGCUUCUUCCGAAGAAAGAAGAAGUGAGCAAGUAAUGUUGACUCUCAUGGAAACGCCCCCUCCGGAUGGAGAUAACUUGGAAAAUGAAUCAGUCCUCACGGAUGUGGAGGAAAAGAAGAUUGAAAAUCCAUUGAGUAUGAAUAAGAUUAAUGGCAAGCAUUUUAGGAGAUAUGAUUUAUUCUGGAAAUAAAAAUCUAUAUUA